This 468-nucleotide ribosomal RNA is filed under the name uncultured bacterium. Its description in RNAcentral is "partial 16S ribosomal RNA". It matches the Rfam family "Bacterial small subunit ribosomal RNA", at positions 28 to 507 of the family's 1533-position model. The record is from RNAcentral.
GACGAACGCUGGCGGCGUGCUUAACACAUGCAAGUCGAACGGAAAGGCCCUGCUUUUGUGGGGUGCUCGAGUGGCGAACGGGUGAGUAACACGUGAGUAACCUGCCCUUGACUUUGGGAUAACUUCAGGAAACUGGGGCUAAUACAGGAUAGGAGCUCCUGCUGCAUGGUGGGGGUUGGAAAGUUUCGGCGGCUGGGGAUGGACUCGGGGCUAAUCAGCUUGUUGGUGGGGUAGUGGCUUACCAAGGCUUUGACGGGUAGCCGGCCUGAGCGGGUGACCGGCCGCACUGGGACGGAGCUACGGCCCAGACUCCUACGGGAGGCAGCAGUGGGGAAUAUUGCACAAUGGGCGGAAGCCUGAUGCAGCACGCCCGCGUGCGGGAGGACGGCCUUCGGGUGGUAAACCGCUUUCUCCUGUGACGAAGCGUGAGUGACGGUAAUGGGUAAAGAAGCACCGGCUAACUACGUG